This 502-nucleotide ribosomal RNA is filed under the name uncultured bacterium. RNAcentral's name for it is "partial 16S ribosomal RNA". It matches the Rfam family "Bacterial small subunit ribosomal RNA", at positions 28 to 507 of the family's 1533-position model. The record is from RNAcentral.
GACGAACGCUGGCGGCGUGCUUAACACAUGCAAGUCGAACGGUGAAGGGGUCUGCUUUUGUGGGCCCUGGAUGAGUGGCGAACGGGUGAGUAACACGUGAGUAACCUGCCCCCUUCUUCUGGAUAACCGCAUGAAAGUGUGGCUAAUACGGGAUAUUCUGGGUCUGUCGCAUGAUGGGUCUGGGAAAGAUUGCGCCUUUGGGUGUUUUUGGUGGGGGAUGGGCUCGCGGCCUAUCAGCUUGAUGGUGGGGUGAUGGCCUCCCAAGGCUGCGACGGGGAGCCGGGCGGGGGGUGUGCACCGUCACACUGGGACUGCGACACAGCCCAGACUCGUACGGGGCGGAGCAAUUUGGAAUAUUGCACAAUGGGGGCAAGCCGGAUGCAGCGACGCCGGGUGAGGGAGGGAUGGCUUCGUGUUGUACACCUCUUUCGGAAGUGAAGCAGUCCUGCUCAUUGUGGGUGGGUUGACGGUAGCUGGAUAAGAAGCGCCGGCUAACUACGUG